GAUGAACGCUAGCGAUAGGCUUAACACAUGCAAGUCGAGGGGUAACGUGUUGGAAGCUUGCUUCCGAUGACGACGACCGGCGGAUGGGUGCGUAACGCGUAUGCAACUUGCCUCACAGUGGAGAAUAACCCGGAGAAAUCCGGACUAAUACUCCAUACACUCUUAAGUACGCCUGUACAUGAGAGGAAAGAUUUAUCGCUGUGAGAUAGGCAUGCGUCCUAUUAGGUAGUUGGUGAGGUAACGGCUCACCAAGCCGACGAUAGGUAGGGGUGCUGAGAGGCAGAUCCCCCACAUUGGGACUGAGUCACGGCCCAAACUCCUACGGGAGGCAGCAGUGAGGAAUAUUGGUCAAUGGAGGAAACUCUGAACCAGCCAAGUCGCGUGAAGGAAGAAUGUCCUAAGGAUUGUAAACUUCUUUAGCGAGCGAGUAAGGACUUCCACGUGAUGGGAGUUUGAAAGUAGCUCGAGAAUAAGUAUCGGCUAACUCCGUG
RNAcentral lists this ribosomal RNA (491 nucleotides) under uncultured bacterium. RNAcentral describes it as "partial 16S ribosomal RNA". It matches the Rfam family "Bacterial small subunit ribosomal RNA", at positions 28 to 507 of the family's 1533-position model. The record is from RNAcentral.